UGAACCGGUCCUGUCCUGUCCACAGGGAGCUCCAGCCCUUUCUCCGGACUCCGUGCAGAAGCCGCCCGCCACCAUGUCAGACGAAGAAGUCGAACAGGUGGAGGGUAAGUGUCGAAGCCACGACCUCUGUCUGCGUGGCCCCCGGGGGAGCACUAGUCCCACAGAGGACACACGUCUCUCCUUGGGGACCCCGGGCUGGCAGCCCUAGAUUUGCCCCGUUCAGUGGGCCCCAGAUCAACACCCCUCUGAAAAGGGGCUCCUCACGCCUGCCCCUGCACCCAAGGUCUCCUCCUUCUCGAAGGUGACAUCCCUGGGAUGUGGUCCCACCUGAGCCCAGCCCUGUGCCCUGCCCUGCCCUGCAC
Miniopterus natalensis is the source of this 362-nucleotide non-coding RNA. NCBI's taxonomy places the organism in Eukaryota, Metazoa, Chordata, Mammalia, Chiroptera, Miniopteridae. The record is from RefSeq and is a predicted model, not a curated record.